Condylostylus longicornis is the source of this 2098-nucleotide RNA transcript. It is a transcript of the gene named beta-catenin-like protein 1, with no coding region annotated. NCBI's taxonomy places the organism in Eukaryota, Metazoa, Arthropoda, Insecta, Diptera, Dolichopodidae. The transcript is spliced from 6 exons. The record is from RefSeq and is a predicted model, not a curated record.
GGAAGAAUGGUAAUUUACUAUUUGAAUAUUGUGGUUUGGUAUAUGAAUUAAAAUACUUUUGUGCAAUUUGUAAAUUUUAUUUGAAAAACUGAAAAUAUGGAUGUAGGAGAACUUCUUUCAUUCAAACCUGAACAAACACCAAAGCGGCAUUUGGAUACUGAUGAUGAUUACGAUGCUCCACCCAUUAAAAAGGCAAUUAAAGAAUCAAAAAACGAAAUUCGAGUUAAAAGAAUAGCAGAAGCUAAAGCAACUUUAGAUAAACCAUCAGCACCCAUUACAAAAUUAGAUUUAUCAUUGACAGAAGAAGAAAAACUUAAUAUAGUGAAAUACGUUGAAAGUGAAGAAGCUGAAGGUGAGGUACUCGACGAAAAUGGCUUAAAGAAAAUGAUUUUACUCUUCGAAAAAAGAAAUUUGAAAAAUCAAGAGAUGCGUAUGAAACAUCCAGAUAAUCCUGAAAAAUUUAUGGAAAGUGAAGUUGAUUUACAUGAAACAAUUUUAGAAUUAAAAGUCGUAGCAACUGUUCCCGAUUUAUAUCCUAUUCUAGUAGAUUUACACGCUAUUCCCAGUCUUUUAGAAUUGUUAUCACACCCAAAUACAGACAUUUCAGUUGCUAUUGUUGAUUUAAUACAAGAAAUGACCGAUGUCGAUAUCUUACAUGAAAGUGUUGAAGGAGCAGAAAUUCUUAUAGAAUGCUUACGGCAACAACAGAUAUGCGCGCUAUUAGUGCAAAAUUUGGAAAGACUUAAUGAAAGUGUUAAAGAGGAAAGUGAUGGUGUACAUAAUUCAUUAUCAAUAAUCGAAAAUUUAACAGAAAUGCAAUCGGAAAUAAUUCGUGAAGCAACUGAUCAGGGCCUAUUAGGAUGGAUAUUGAAAAGGUUAAAGCAAAAAACUCCAUUUGAUCCAAAUAAAUUAUAUUGUAGUGAAAUUUUAUCAAUUUUGCUACAAACUGAGAAUGAAAAUCGUUUGACAUUAGGAAAUUUAGAUGGAAUAGAUGUUUUAUUACAGCAGUUAGCUGUAUAUAAAAGACAUGAUCCACAUUCAUCUGAAGAACAAGAAUAUAUGGAAAAUAUGUUUAAUUGUCUGUGUUCAGCUCUAAUGGUCAAAGAAAAUCGCGAAAGAUUUUUGAAAGGCGAAGGUUUGCAAUUGAUGAAUCUUAUGUUGCGUGAAAAAAAAAUGUCUAGGAAUGGCUCUUUAAAAGUCCUAGAUCAUGCUAUGGGGGGACAAGAUGGUAAAGACAAUUGUAAUAAAUUCGUGGAUAUUUUAGGUUUAAGAACAAUUUUUCCACUUUUUAUGAAAACCCCAAAACGAAAUAAAAAGCGUUUGCUGAGUAUAGAUGAACAUGAGGAACAUGUGGUUUCAGUAAUUGCUAGUAUGCUUAGAAACUGUAAAGGUGUUCAAAGGCAAAGAUUAAUAUCAAAAUUUACGGAAAAUGAUCAUGAAAAGGUUGAUAGAUUGUUGGAAUUACAUUUAAAGUACUUAGAAAAAGUCGAAGCUGUCGAGAAGGAAAUUGAUGCUCAACCAGAAGAUCCUAAUAUUGAUGAAGAUGAGAUGGCUGAUACAAAUUAUAUCAAAAAGCUUUCUGGUGGUCUUUUUACACUACAAUUAAUAGAUUACAUCAUUUUAGAAGUGAGUGCAGCCAUUGAUACUGUGAAACAAAGAGUAGUAAAAAUAUUGAAUUUAAGAGGAGCCUCAAUGAAAACGAUCAGAAAUUUAAUGAGAGAGUAUGCUGGAAAUUUGGGAGAUGCAGGUGAUGCUGAUUGGAGAGAUCAAGAGCAGGCACAUAUAAUUUCAUUAGUUGAUAGGUUUUAAUUGUCAUUUUUAUGCAAACACACUGUUGUACAAUUUUAUAAAGUUUUUUUUUUAAUUUGAGCUAAUUUAAAGUUCUGGAAUCUCAAAGUUGACAUCUAUAUUAACGUCACGUGCCAAUUCUACAAUUUCUGCUAAACGAACUGCUAAGUUAGCAGCCUCACUUAAAUCGUCACGAGCAGAAGCAGUGGCCCCACCACCAACAUCUAAAAAAUUAGCCGCAUCACCUCCAUGUAAUUUAAUUAUAUCCAUUGUAGCCAUGGCCAAUCCUGCACCAUUAACCAUGCAUCCA